UACGAAGGGGGCUAGCGUCGCUCGGAAUCACUGGGCGUAAAGCGCACGUAGGCGGAUCUUUAAGUCAGGGGUGAAAUCCUGGAGCUCAACUCCAGAACUGCCUUUGAUACUGGGGAUCUCGAGUCCGGGAGAGGUGAGUGGAACUCCGAGUGUAGAGGUGAAAUUCGUAGAUAUUCGGAAGAACACCAGUGGCGAAGGCGGCUCACUGGCCCGGUACUGACGCUGAGGUGCGAAAGCGUGGGGAGCAAACAGG
Molecule: ribosomal RNA, 253 nt
Filed under: uncultured bacterium
Lineage: Bacteria
Description: partial 16S ribosomal RNA
Rfam family: Bacterial small subunit ribosomal RNA
Source: RNAcentral